GUCCGCGUGUUUAAUCAUAUGCGGUCUGGCCUGCCCACUGGAGUUCUGAAGGCCGCGGUAUACUGACCGUGCGAAGGUAGCAUAAUCAAUAGUGUUUUAAUUGAAGACUGGAAUGAAGGGUCGGACAAGGGGUUGGCUGUCUCUUAAAUAAAAUUUGAAGUUUACUUUUAAGUGAAAAGGCUUAAAUAAAGUAGAGGGACGAUAAGACCCUAUAAAACUUUACAAGAUGUGUUGUUAGAGGUAUGAAUUAUAAAGUGUAAACUUGAUAAGAACACAAUUGUUUUGUUGGGGCGACAGGGAUAAAACAAGAUUAACUGUCUUUUUCUAUAAUAAUAGUUAUAAUUAGUUAAGUUGAUCCUUUAUUAAGGAUUAAGAGAUUAAGUUACUUUAGGGAUAACAGCGUAAUUUCUCUUGAGAGUUCUAAUCGACAGAGUUAGUUGCGACCUCGAUGUUGAAUUAAGAUGUUACUCAGGUGCAGCAGUCUGAGUGGUAGGUCUGUUCGACCUUUAAAAUCUU
This 516-nucleotide ribosomal RNA is filed under the name Lysmata seticaudata (Monaco shrimp). RNAcentral describes it as "partial 16S ribosomal RNA". It matches the Rfam family "Bacterial large subunit ribosomal RNA", at positions 1819 to 2597 of the family's 2925-position model. The record is from RNAcentral. Lineage: Eukaryota; Metazoa; Arthropoda; Malacostraca; Decapoda; Hippolytidae.